Molecule: long non-coding RNA, 1926 nt
Organism: Saccostrea cuccullata (small rock oyster)
Lineage: Eukaryota; Metazoa; Mollusca; Bivalvia; Ostreida; Ostreidae
Exons: 14
Source: RefSeq, a predicted model, not a curated record
UCUGUGAUUGAAUUUAAAUCAGAAAAAAUGUUUACUAAAUUUUGGUAAAAUACAUAUGGUAUCUUUUACAUUUCUGUCCUGUUUGUCUGUCAAUUGUUGCUUUACUUCCUUUGUAAAAUGAGGUUAAUUUGUGUAUCACUGAAUAUUGUAUGCUUUUUUUCAGGAUCAGCUAAGAUGUUGUUUCACUGGAUUAUUUAAUUGGGCAUAUAAUUGGAUAAUUCUGUCCUCAACCUGGAAGAUAUGUUUUAUUCCUAACCAUCUAUAAUCCAUUCUCUAUGAAGUUCAGCCUGUCUGCCCAAAUUCCUUUGGAAAUACAUAGUUAGUCAACCAACAUAGAAACAAUCAAACUUGAAGUCCUCAACCUGGAAGAUAUGUUUUAUUCCUAACCAUCUAUAAUCCAUUCUCUAUGAAGUUCAGCCUGUCUGCCCAAAUUCCUUUGGAAAUACAUAGUUAGUCAACCAACAUAGAAACAAUCAAACUUGAAGUCCUCAACCUGGAAGAUAUGUUUUAUUCCUAACCAUCUAUAAUCCAUUCUCUAUGAAGUUCAGCCUGUCUGCCCAAAUUCCUUUGGAAAUACAUAGUUAGUCAACCAACAUAGAAACAAUCAAACUUGAAGUCCUCAACCUGGAAGAUAUGUUUUAUUCCUAACCAUCUAUAAUCCAUUCUCUAUGAAGUUCAGCCUGUCUGCCCAAAUUCCUUUGGAAAUACAUAGUUAGUCAACCAACAUAGAAACAAUCAAACUUGAAGUCCUCAACCUGGAAGAUAUGUUUUAUUCCUAACCAUCUAUAAUCCAUUCUCUAUGAAGUUCAGCCUGUCUGCCCAAAUUCCUUUGGAAAUACAUAGUUAGUCAACCAACAUAGAAACAAUCAAACUUGAAGUCCUCAACCUGGAAGAUAUGUUUUAUUCCUAACCAUCUAUAAUCCAUUCUCUAUGAAGUUCAGCCUGUCUGCCCAAAUUCCUUUGGAAAUACAUAGUUAGUCAACCAACAUAGAAACAAUCAAACUUGAAGUCCUCAACCUGGAAGAUAUGUUUUAUUCCUAACCAUCUAUAAUCCAUUCUCUAUGAAGUUCAGCCUGUCUGCCCAAAUUCCUUUGGAAAUACAUAGUUAGUCAACCAACAUAGAAACAAUCAAACUUGAAGUCCUCAACCUGGAAGAUAUGUUUUAUUCCUAACCAUCUAUAAUCCAUUCUCUAUGAAGUUCAGCCUGUCUGCCCAAAUUCCUUUGGAAAUACAUAGUUAGUCAACCAACAUAGAAACAAUCAAACUUGAAGUCCUCAACCUGGAAGAUAUGUUUUAUUCCUAACCAUCUAUAAUCCAUUCUCUAUGAAGUUCAGCCUGUCUGCCCAAAUUCCUUUGGAAAUACAUAGUUAGUCAACCAACAUAGAAACAAUCAAACUUGAAGUCCUCAACCUGGAAGAUAUGUUUUAUUCCUAACCAUCUAUAAUCCAUUCUCUAUGAAGUUCAGCCUGUCUGCCCAAAUUCCUUUGGAAAUACAUAGUUAGUCAACCAACAUAGAAACAAUCAAACUUGAAGUCCUCAACCUGGAAGAUAUGUUUUAUUCCUAACCAUCUAUAAUCCAUUCUCUAUGAAGUUCAGCCUGUCUGCCCAAAUUCCUUUGGAAAUACAUAGUUAGUCAACCAACAUAGAAACAAUCAAACUUGAAGUCCUCAACCUGGAAGAUAUGUUUUAUUCCUAACCAUCUAUAAUCCAUUCUCUAUGAAGUUCAGCCUGUCUGCCCAAAUUCCUUUGGAAAUACAUAGUUAGUCAACCAACAUAGAAACAAUCAAACUUGAAGUCAUCAACAUGGAAGAUAUGUUUUGUUCCUAUAACCAUCUGUAAUCAAUUCUCUAUGAAGUUCAGACUGUCUGCUCUUCCUUUGGAAAUACACAGUUAGUUAAUCAACAUAGAAACACACAAACUUGAAGG